GUGGGGAAUAUUGGACAAUGGGCGAAAGCCUGAUCCAGCCAUGCCGCGUGUGUGAAGAAGGUCUUCGGAUUGUAAAGCACUUUAAGUUGGGAGGAAGGGCAGUAAGUUAAUACCUUGCUGUUUUGACGUUACCGACAGAAUAAGCACCGGCUAACUUCGUGCCAGCAGCCGCGGUAAUACGAAGGGUGCAAGCGUUAAUCGGAAUUACUGGGCGUAAAGCGUGCGUAGGUGGUUUUGUAAGUUGGAGGUGAAAUCCCCGGGCUCAACCUGGGAACUGCCUCCAAAACUGCAUGACUAGAGUACGGUAGAGGGUAGUGGAAUUUCCUGUGUAGCGGUGAAAUGCGUAGAUAUAGGAAGGAACACCAGUGGCGAAGGCGACUACCUGGACUGAUACUGACACUGAGGUGCGAAAGCGUGGGGAGCAAACAGGAUUAGAAACCCGAGUAGUCC
Molecule: ribosomal RNA, 450 nt
Filed under: uncultured bacterium
Lineage: Bacteria
Description: partial 16S ribosomal RNA
Rfam family: Bacterial small subunit ribosomal RNA
Source: RNAcentral